UUAUUAUUUGUAGGGUUGCUCACUGUGUGUUGAGGUUAUCUUGACACAGGAGGAGAGGCUCCAAACACCUGAUCUGCACCGUGUUUGUGCAGCCACAGUGAAUCAGUGCUGCUUUGCCCUUUUGCUGCUCGGAGCUGCUGCCUAGAUGUGAAGUCUCAUUCAGUAAAUGAUGCAAGGAUUUGGGAAGCAGAACAAUGAGUAGAGACGGUGUCCUGCCAGUAAUUGCUGGAAGCAGAGGAGAAGGGAGCUGUAGGAUAUUGGCACGUGGAGAAGCGCAGAGAUAGUCCUACUCUG
This is a long non-coding RNA of Pyrgilauda ruficollis (rufous-necked snowfinch), 294 nucleotides long. RefSeq lists it as uncharacterized. NCBI's taxonomy places the organism in Eukaryota, Metazoa, Chordata, Aves, Passeriformes, Passeridae. The transcript has 3 exons. The record is from RefSeq and is a predicted model, not a curated record.